This 1969-nucleotide unclassified non-coding RNA is filed under the name Feihyla vittatus (striped Asian treefrog). Its description in RNAcentral is "Rohanixalus vittatus (striped Asian treefrog) partial contains 12S ribosomal RNA, tRNA-Val, and 16S ribosomal RNA". The stretch from base 1 to 516 matches the Rfam family "Bacterial small subunit ribosomal RNA", at positions 780 to 1533 of the family's 1533-position model. The record is from RNAcentral. Lineage: Eukaryota; Metazoa; Chordata; Amphibia; Anura; Rhacophoridae.
AGAUACCCCACUAUGCCUAGCCGUAAAAUCACUUACACUAAUAUCGCCAGGGUACUACGAGCCUAGCUUAAAACCCAAAGGACUUGACGGUAUUCCACCCAACUAGAGGAGCUUGUCCUAUAAUCGAUAAUCCACGUUAUACCUAACCAUUUUUUGCUUUUCAGCCUGUAUACCUCCGUCAUAAGCUUACCGUAUGAGCGCAUAAUAGUAGGCCUAAUGGUUUAUAACCUCACACCAUCACGCCAGGUCAAGGUGCAGCUAAUAAAAUGGAAGAGAUGAGCUACAAUUUCUACCCUAGAACAAACAAAACGCUGAAUGAAAUACAGCUAAAAGGUGGAUUUAGAAGUAAGUGGGGAAUAAAGAGCUCUACUUAAAUCGGCCCUGGAAUGUGUACAAACCGCCCGUCACCCUCUUCAAUAACAACAAAUUAGCUUUAUAACAUAACUAACUAUUUUCAGAUGAGGUAAGUCGUAACAUGGUAAGUAUACUGGAAAGUGUACUUGGAACAACAAAAUGUAGCUUAACUUAAAGCCUUCCGCUUACACCGAAAAACCGUCUGUUUAACUCAGACCAUUUUGAGCCUAAAAUCUACCCUUCAUUAAACUUAUAAGACCCCCAAUUAUGGUCAAUAAUAAAAACCAUUUACCUCUUCUAGUUAGAAGUGAUCGAAGAAUAACCAAGAGCUUAAGAAACAGUACCGCAAGGGAAAAAUGGAAUAAUAAUGAAAUAAUAUAAAGCCCACUAAAGCAGAGCCCUAAACUCGUACCUUUUGCAUCAUCGUUCGGCCAGUUUAACCAGGCAAAACGAACUUUCAGUCUGCCACCCCGAAACUAGACGAGCUACUUCAAAACAACCUAAAGAGCCAACCCGUCUCUGUAGCAAAAGAGUGGGAAGAUUUUCAAGUAGAGGUGAAAAGCCUAACGAGCCUAGAGAUAGCUGGUUAUUCAAGAAAAGAAUAUAAGUUCCUCCUUAAAUUUUUAGAUGUGUAUAAACAAGACCCAAAAUUUAAGAGUUAUUCAAUUAAGGCACAGCUUAAUCGAAAUAGGAUACAACCUCGACACUAGGGUAAAAUAAUUAUAACCAACAAGUANGCCUAACAGCAGCCACCUUUUAAAAAGCGUCAAAGCUUACUACAUCUAAUCUUUCUAAUAUAAUAAAAUUAAAUGACCCCUUACUCAAUAUUGAAUGACUUCAUAACCAUAUGAAAAUCACUAUGCCGGAACUANUAACAAGAAUUUAAUAUUCUCCAAAAUGUAAACAUAAACUAAAAUGGAUCCCCCAUUAGUAAUUAACGAAAAUGAAAUUUAUACACUAACACCCCGAGAAAAACGUGUAUAUAUAAACCGUUAACCUGACACAAGAACACUCCUGGAAAGAUUAAAAGGAAAAGAAGGAACUCGGCAAAUCUUAACCCCGCCUGUUUACCAAAAACAUCGCCUCUUGACAUUAUAUAAGAGGUCCAGCCUGCCCAGUGAAAAUUAAACGGCCGCGGUACACUGACCGUGCAAAGGUAGCAUAAUCACUCGUCCCUUAAAUAGAGACUAGUAUCAACGGCAUCACGAGGGUUAUACUGUCUCCUCUUCCUAAUCAGUGAAACUGAUCUCCCCCGUGAAAAAGCGGGCAUACACAUAUAAGACGAGAAGACCCCAUGGAGCUUUAAACCAAAAGGCAAAUUAAAUUAAUAUACCACUAUAACCCCUUAUACCAUGCACAUUGGUUUUAGGUUGGGGCAACCACGGAGAAAAAAUCAACCUCCGCAACGAAAAGACCUUAAUCUUUAUCCCAGAGCCACCGCUCUAAGAAUUAGAAUACUAACGGGUAAUGAUCCAACUUACUAGUUGAUCAAUGGACCAAGUUACCCUGGGGAUAACAGCGCAAUCUACUUUGAGAGUUCCUAUUGAUAAGUGGGUUUACGACCUCGAUGUUGGAUCAGGGUAUCCUAGUGGUGCAGCCGCUACUAAAGGUUCGU